Molecule: non-coding RNA, 80 nt
Filed under: Paramoeba aestuarina
Lineage: Eukaryota; Discosea; Flabellinia; Dactylopodida; Paramoebidae
Source: RNAcentral
UCUUCCCAACCUGCUUUUGGUGCCUCCACCCCCACUUCUUCCGCUUCUACACUCCCCUUCUCUUCACUCUCUCUCUCUCC